GAGGGGAUUAGUGGCGAACGGGUGAGUAACACGUGGGCAAUCUGCCCUGCACUCUGGGACAAGCCCUGGAAACGGGGUCUAAUACCGGAUACUGACCCGCUUGGGCAUCCAAGCGGUUCGAAAGCUCCGGCGGUGCAGGAUGAGCCCGCGGCCUAUCAGCUUGUUGGUGAGGUAAUGGCUCACCAAGGCGACGACGGGUAGCCGGCCUGAGAGGGCGACCGGCCACACUGGGACUGAGACACGGCCCAGACUCCUACGGGAGGCAGCAGUGGGGAAUAUUGCACAAUGGGCGAAAGCCUGAUGCAGCGACGCCGCGUGAGGGAUGACGGCCUUCGGGUUGUAAACCUCUUUCAGCAGGGAAGAAGCGAAAGUGACGGUACCUGCAGAAGAAGCGCCGGCUAACUACGUGCCAGCAGCCGCGGUAAUACGUAGGGCGCGAGCGUUGUCCGGAAUUAUUGGGCGUAAAGAGCUCGUAGGCGGCUUGUCGCGUCGGUUGUGAAAGCCCGGGGCUUAACCCCGGGUCUGCAGUCGAUACGGGCAGGCUAGAGUUCGGUAGGGGAGAUCGGAAUUCCUGGUGUAGCGGUGAAAUGCGCAGAUAUCAGGAGGAACACCGGUGGCGAAGGCGGAUCUCUGGGCCGAUACUGACGCUGAGGAGCGAAAGCGUGGGGAGCGAACAGGAUUAGAUACCCUGGUAGUCCACGCC
This 703-nucleotide ribosomal RNA is filed under the name Streptomyces variabilis. Its description in RNAcentral is "bacterial SSU rRNA". It matches the Rfam family "Bacterial small subunit ribosomal RNA", at positions 85 to 801 of the family's 1533-position model. Lineage: Bacteria; Bacillati; Actinomycetota; Actinomycetes; Kitasatosporales; Streptomycetaceae. The record is from RNAcentral.